RNAcentral lists this ribosomal RNA (404 nucleotides) under uncultured bacterium. RNAcentral describes it as "bacterial SSU rRNA". It matches the Rfam family "Bacterial small subunit ribosomal RNA", at positions 355 to 775 of the family's 1533-position model. The record is from RNAcentral.
UCGGGAAUAUUGCGCAAUGGAGGAAACUCUGACGCAGUGACGCCGCGUAUAGGAAGAAGGUUUUCGGAUUGUAAACUAUUGUCGUUAGGGAAGAGAAAGGACAGUACCUAAGGAGGAAGCUCCGGCUAACUACGUGCCAGCAGCCGCGGUAAUACGUAGGGAGCGAGCGUUAUCCGGAAUUAUUGGGUGUAAAGGGUGCGUAGACGGGAGAACAAGUUAGUUGUGAAAUACCUCGGCUCAACUGAGGAACUGCAACUAAAACUGUACUUCUUGAGUGCAGGAGAGGUAAGUGGAAUUCCUAGUGUAGCGGUGAAAUGCGUAGAUAUUAGGAGGAACACCAGUGGCGAAGGCGACUUACUGGACUGUAACUGACGUUGAGGCACGAAAGUGUGGGGAGCAAACAG